ACGAGGGGCUUGUCAAACAUUUAGUUAUUGUUUUUAGCUUUAACUUGUAUUUUGUUUGGUUUCUAAUUAAAAUUGAAAUUACAAAACUGAUUAUGAUUAGUGAGUGUUUUGGAGCACCAAAACACAAUUUUUUGUUGCUGCUGGGUGAGCUUGGGUCUCUUUUGGUGGAGCUAAUCCUCCGUCUCCCUUGCUGUAGCUGACAGAAAGCUCCUAAACUGUCCGCCUUGACUGUAGCUUCAUGAUACCACCCACUGCUGCCAUGGUCUGUUCUCCUUUGAUGUCCAGCGGAGACCUGGCUGAGCAACCUGACAGAACGAUUCAAGUACCGGGCUUCCAGGUGUUCAGAGCAGAUCGCUGUCUGGAAAAGCAAGAGGAGGUGGAAUCUGUUUCUACAUAAAUGAAGGACCUGAAGUGGACGUCCAACACCAGGACCAUCAUCA
Molecule: long non-coding RNA, 440 nt
Organism: Monopterus albus (swamp eel)
Lineage: Eukaryota; Metazoa; Chordata; Actinopteri; Synbranchiformes; Synbranchidae
Exons: 3
Source: RefSeq, a predicted model, not a curated record